UGCAGAAUUCAGUGAAUCAUCGAAUCUUUGAACGCACAUUGCGCCCUCUGGUAUUCCGGGGGGCAUGCCUGUUCGAGCGUCAUUA
RNAcentral lists this ribosomal RNA (85 nucleotides) under dark septate endophyte sp. K1RBa. Its description in RNAcentral is "partial 5.8S ribosomal RNA". It matches the Rfam family "5.8S ribosomal RNA", at positions 73 to 154 of the family's 154-position model. From Rfam's summary of the family: 5.8S ribosomal RNA (5.8S rRNA) is a component of the large subunit of the eukaryotic ribosome. The record is from RNAcentral. Lineage: Eukaryota; Fungi; Ascomycota; Leotiomycetes; Helotiales.